GGAGCUGUAGCUCAGUUGGUAGAGUGUUUGCCUAGCAUGUGUGAGGCACUGGGUUCGAAUCCUCAGCACCA
Molecule: transfer RNA, 71 nt
Filed under: Marmota marmota marmota (Alpine marmot)
Lineage: Eukaryota; Metazoa; Chordata; Mammalia; Rodentia; Sciuridae
Also listed under: 3 other names
Rfam family: tRNA
About the family: Transfer RNA (tRNA) molecules are approximately 80 nucleotides in length. Their secondary structure includes four short double-helical elements and three loops (D, anti-codon, and T loops).
Source: Rfam by way of RNAcentral